RNAcentral lists this ribosomal RNA (1138 nucleotides) under Vibrio parahaemolyticus. RNAcentral's name for it is "bacterial SSU rRNA". It matches the Rfam family "Bacterial small subunit ribosomal RNA", at positions 330 to 1514 of the family's 1533-position model. The record is from RNAcentral. Lineage: Bacteria; Pseudomonadati; Pseudomonadota; Gammaproteobacteria; Vibrionales; Vibrionaceae.
CCAGAAUCUCCUAACCGGGAGGGCAGUCAGUGGGAAUAUUGCACAUGGCAGGCUGAUGCAGGCCAUGCCGCGUGUGUGAGAAGCUUCGGUGUAAGGCACUUUCAGUCGUGAGAUGUAGUGUAGGUAAUAGCUGCAUUAUUGACGUUAGCGACAGAAGAAGCACGGCUAACUCCGUGCCAGCAGCCGCGGUAAUACGGAGGGUGCGAGCGUUAAUCGGAAAUUACUGGGCGUAAAGCGCAUGCAGGUGGUUUGUUAAGUCAGAUGUGAAAGCCCGGGGCUCAACCUCGGAAUUGCAUUUGAAACUGGCAGACUAGAGUACUGUAGAGGGGGGUAGAAUUUCAGGUGUAGCGGUGAAAUGCGUAGAGAUCUGAAGGAAUACCGGUGGCGAAGGCGGCCCCCUGGACAGAUACUGACACUCAGAUGCGAAAGCGUGGGGAGCAAACAGGAUUAGAUACCCUGGUAGUCCACGCCGUAAACGAUGUCUACUUGGAGGUUGUGGCCUUGAGCCGUGGCUUUCGGAGCUAACGCGUUAAGUAGACCGCCUGGGGAGUACGGUCGCAAGAUUAAAACUCAAAUGAAUUGACGGGGGCCCGCACAAGCGGUGGAGCAUGUGGUUUAAUUCGAUGCAACGCGAAGAACCUUACCUACUCUUGACAUCCAGAGAACUUUCCAGAGAUGGAUUGGUGCCUUCGGGAACUCUGAGACAGGUGCUGCAUGGCUGUCGUCAGCUCGUGUUGUGAAAUGUUGGGUUAAGUCCCGCAACGAGCGCAACCCUUAUCCUUGUUUGCCAGCGAGUAAUGUCGGGAACUCCAGGGAGACUGCCGGUGAUAAACCGGAGGAAGGUGGGGACGACGUCAAGUCAUCAUGGCCCUUACGAGUAGGGCUACACACGUGCUACAAUGGCGCAUACAGAGGGCGGCCAACUUGCGAAAGUGAGCGAAUCCCAAAAAGUGCGUCGUAGUCCGGAUUGGAGUCUGCAACUCGACUCCAUGAAGUCGGAAUCGCUAGUAAUCGUGGAUCAGAAUGCCACGGUGAAUACGUUCCCGGGCCUUGUACACACCGCCCGCCACGCCACCGGACUAGAGUGCGAUACCUGGCUCAGGAUAAGUCGUAACAAGGUAACCAUGCUAGAGUUGCG